RNAcentral lists this ribosomal RNA (1341 nucleotides) under uncultured bacterium. Its description in RNAcentral is "partial 16S ribosomal RNA". It matches the Rfam family "Bacterial small subunit ribosomal RNA", at positions 28 to 1381 of the family's 1533-position model. The record is from RNAcentral.
GACGAACGCUGGCGGCGUGCUUAACACAUGCAAGUCGAACGGUAAGGCUCCAGCUUGCUGGGGUACACGAGUGGCGAACGGGUGAGUAACACGUGGGUGACCUGCCCUGCACUUCGGGAUAAGCCUGGGAAACUGGGUCUAAUACCGGAUAGGACCGCACCGUGAGGGUGUGGUGGAAAGUUUUUUCGGUGUGGGAUGGGCCCGCGGCCUAUCAGCUUGUUGGUGGGGUAAUGGCCUACCAAGGCGGCGACGGGUAGCCGGCCUGAGAGGGUGGACGGCCACAUUGGGACUGAGACACGGCCCAGACUCCUACGGGAGGCAGCAGUGGGGAAUAUUGCUCAAUGGGCGGAAGCCUGAUGCAGCGACGCCGCGUGGGGGAUGACGGCCUUCGGGUUGUAAACUCCUUUCACCAUCGACGAAGGGUUUCUGACGGUAGAUGGAGAAGAAGCACCGGCUAACUACGUGCCAGCAGCCGCGGUAAUACGUAGGGUGCGAGCGUUGUCCGGAAUUACUGGGCGUAAAGAGCUCGUAGGUGGUUUGUCGCGUCGUCUGUGAAAUUCCGGGGCUUAACUCCGGGCGUGCAGGCGAUACGGGCAUAACUUGAGUACUGUAGGGGAGACUGGAAUUCCUGGUGUAGCGGUGAAAUGCGCAGAUAUCAGGAGGAACACCGGUGGCGAAGGCGGGUCUCUGGGCAGUAACUGACGCUGAGGAGCGAAAGCAUGGGGAGCGAACAGGAUUAGAUACCCUGGUAGUCCAUGCCGUAAACGGUGGGCGCUAGGUGUGGGUUUCCUUCCACGGGAUCCGUGCCGUAGCUAACGCAUUAAGCGCCCCGCCUGGGGAGUACGGCCGCAAGGCUAAAACUCAAAGGAAUUGACGGGGGCCCGCACAAGCGGCGGAGCAUGUGGAUUAAUUCGAUGCAACGCGAAGAACCUUACCUGGGCUUGACAUAUACAGGAUCGCGCCAGAGAUGGUGUUUCCCUUGUGGCUUGUAUACAGGUGGUGCAUGGUUGUCGUCAGCUCGUGUCGUGAGAUGUUGGGUUAAGUCCCGCAACGAGCGCAACCCUUGUCUUAUGUUGCCAGCACGUUGUGGUGGGGACUCGUAAGAAACUGCCGGGGUUAACUCGGAGGAAGGUGGGGAUGACGUCAAAUCAUCAUGCCCCUUAUGUCCAGGGCUUCACACAUGCUACAAUGGUCGGUACAGUGGGUUGCCAGUCCGUGAGGGCGAGCUAAUCCCGCAAAGCCGGUCUCAGUUCGGAUCGGGGUCUGCAACUCGACCCCGUGAAGUCGGAGUCGCUAGUAAUCGCAGAUCAGCAACGCUGCGGUGAAUACGUUCCCGGGCCU